Molecule: ribosomal RNA, 303 nt
Filed under: uncultured bacterium
Lineage: Bacteria
Description: partial 16S ribosomal RNA
Rfam family: Bacterial small subunit ribosomal RNA
Source: RNAcentral
AGCAGUAGCCGCGGGAAUACGUAGGCGGCAAGCGUUGUCCGGAAUUAUUGGGCGUAAAGGGCUCGCAGGCGGUUUCUUAAGUCUGAUGUGAAAGCCCCCGGCUCAACCGGGGAGGGUCAUUGGAAACUGGGAAACUUGAGUGCAGAAGAGGAGAGUGGAAUUCCACGUGUAGCGGUGAAAUGCGUAGAGAUGUGGAGGAACACCAGUGGCGAAGGCGACUCUCUGGUCUGUAACUGACGCUGAGGAGCGAAAGCGUGGGGAGCGAACAGGAUUAGAUACCCCCGUAGUCCCUGUCUCUUAUAA